This 664-nucleotide ribosomal RNA is filed under the name uncultured cyanobacterium. RNAcentral describes it as "bacterial SSU rRNA". It matches the Rfam family "Bacterial small subunit ribosomal RNA", at positions 99 to 795 of the family's 1533-position model. Lineage: Bacteria; Bacillati; Cyanobacteriota. The record is from RNAcentral.
CGGACGGGUGAGUAACACGUAAGAAUUUGCCUUUAGGAGGGGGACAACAACUGGAAACGGUUGCUAAUACCCCAUAUGCUUUCGAGUGAAAUGGAUUUCCGCCUAAAGAGAAGCUUGCGGCUGAUUAGCUUGUUGGUAGGGUAAUGGCCUACCAAGGCGACGAUCAGUAUCUGGUUUGAGAGGACGAUCAGACACACUGGAACUGAGACACGGUCCAGACUCCUACGGGAGGCAGCAGUAGGGAAUUUUCCGCAAUGGGCGAAAGCCUGACGGAGCAAUACCGCGUGAGGGAUGACUGCCUAUGGGCUGUAAACCUCCUUUUUCAGGGAAGAAUAAAUGACGUGUACCUGAAGAAUAAGCAUCGGCUAACUCCGUGCCAGCAGCCGCGGUAAGACGGAGGAUGCAAGUGUUAUCCGGAAUCACUGGGCGUAAAGCGUCUGUAAGUGGCUCGACAAGUCCACUGUUUAAUCUUGAACCUCAACUUCGAAAUCCCAGUCGAAACUAUCGAACUAGAGUAUAGUAGAGGUAAAGGGCAUUUCCAGUAGAGCGGUGGAAUGCGUAGAGACUGGGAAGAACACCGAUGGCGAAGGCACUUUACUGGGCUAUUACUGACACUCAGAGACGAAAGCUAGGGUAGCAAAUGGGAUUAGAUACCCCAGUAGUC